CUUUGUCCUCCAGAAAUUGAACAAGUUACUUUCUUGGACUAAAGAAAACCCACAGCCUGCAUAGCUAGAACAGAGGCUUCUGGGGUUUCUUCCCCAAAAUGGGAAAUUUUGAAUGCUCUGGAGGAGACAAGGUUGGCCAGGGUUCAGGCAUUUUAACACAUAUUAAGAUUCAGCAGGCAAACAACUUUACAUUAUAGCUGGGAAAAAUGAAGAGGGAAAUGGAAGCAGAAUCCUACAUGCUUAGUCACGCAGCCAAUUAUGAAACCACGAUGCACCAUGUGUGAGAGAAGAAAUUGAAGUUUUUCUGCUUCGACAAAUGAAGAAAAAUGGUGCAGACAACACUAACAGUACCUAUGAACAGCUCUACCUGGCAAUACCUUCUAAUUCAUCUUGGGGAGCAAUUUAAGUCAGAUUCCACAUUGGAUGACAUGCUGCUAUCCUUACUAAUUAAAGUUGAAAUGAACUCAGCCAUUCGUUACAGUUAAUUUC
Molecule: long non-coding RNA, 489 nt
Filed under: Pogona vitticeps (central bearded dragon)
Lineage: Eukaryota; Metazoa; Chordata; Lepidosauria; Squamata; Agamidae
Description: lncRNA (ENSPVIG00000008625.1)
Source: RNAcentral